Molecule: unclassified non-coding RNA, 240 nt
Filed under: Hevea brasiliensis (rubber tree)
Lineage: Eukaryota; Viridiplantae; Streptophyta; Magnoliopsida; Malpighiales; Euphorbiaceae
Source: RNAcentral
AACAUUGUCAAAGGAGGAGUUGGAUACGACAUCAAUUGGGUAUCAGACUCCUAUCCCGAUUGAUCAGGUGAAACCAUUGGCUGAAUUCGAGUACGAUGGAGAGGGUUCUCCUGCUGGACGUGGUCGAGGCCGUGGUGGUUUCCGUGGCAGGGGUAGGGCCCGUGGCGGUGCGGCUUAUGAAUACGGAAAUGGUGGCCCUGCGGUCGAUUAUCAAGAUGGUGGCUGGGAAAAUAGGGGACG